AUGCCCAACCGUAAAACCAACCUACACCACACACGCCAGGGUAUUACGAGCCAAGCUUAAAACCCAAAGGACUUGACGGUGCCCCAGCCAACUAGAGGAGCCUGUCCUAAAAUCGAUAAUCCCCGCUCAACCUUACCACUUCUUGCUUGAUUCAGUUAGUAUACUUCCGUCGUAAGCUUGCCAUUUGAGUGACUCAUAGCAGGCCCAAUGAUAUUCCAUAAAUACGUCAGGUCAAGGUGCAGCAUAAGAAGUGGGCUGAGAUGGGCUACAAUUUCUAACUUAGAACACACGGAACAUUGAAUGAAACACAAAUGUGAAGGUGGAUCUAGUAGUAAAAAGAAAAUAAAGUGUUCUUUUUAAUAAUGGCACUGGGACGCGUACAAACCGCCCGUCACCCUCCUCGAUAGACUGUAAUAGAUAAAUAACACAAACCUCACAAUCAGAGGAGGCAAGUCGUAACAUGGUAAGUGUACCGGAAGGUGCACUUGGAUAG
RNAcentral lists this ribosomal RNA (493 nucleotides) under Occidozyga laevis. Its description in RNAcentral is "partial 12S small subunit ribosomal RNA". It matches the Rfam family "Bacterial small subunit ribosomal RNA", at positions 792 to 1523 of the family's 1533-position model. Lineage: Eukaryota; Metazoa; Chordata; Amphibia; Anura; Dicroglossidae. The record is from RNAcentral.